GCGACCACGCCAGGAGUCGAACCUGGAAUCUCUAGAGAAUGGGAUGACGGUGAACCGAAAUCUAGCGCCUUAGCCAUUAGGCCACGCGGCC
This 91-nucleotide transfer RNA is filed under the name Fusarium acuminatum CS5907. Its description in RNAcentral is "tRNA-Glu". The record is from RNAcentral. Lineage: Eukaryota; Fungi; Ascomycota; Sordariomycetes; Hypocreales; Nectriaceae.